This 468-nucleotide ribosomal RNA is filed under the name uncultured bacterium. RNAcentral describes it as "partial 16S ribosomal RNA". It matches the Rfam family "Bacterial small subunit ribosomal RNA", at positions 28 to 507 of the family's 1533-position model. The record is from RNAcentral.
GACGAACGCUGGCGGCGUGCUUAACACAUGCGAGUCGAACGGAAAGGCCCUGCUUUUGUGGGGUGCUCGAGUGGCGAACGGGGGAGUAACACGUGAGUAACCUGCCCUUGACUUUGGGAUAACUUCAGGAAAAUGGGGCUAAUACAGGAUAGGAGCUCCUGCUGCACGGUGGGGGUUGGAAAGUUUCGGCGGUUGGGGAUGGACUAGCGGCUUAUCAGCUUGUUGGUGGGGUAGUGGCUUACCAAGGCUUUGACGGGUAGCCGGCCUGGGAGGGUGACCGGCCACAUGGGUACUGCGGGACGGCCCAGACGCCUACGGGAGGCAGCAGUGGGGAAUAUUGCGCAAUGGGCGGAAGCCUGAUGCAGCAACGCCGCGUGCGGGAUGACGGCCUUCGGGUUGUAAACCGCUUUCGCCUGUGACGAAGCGUGAGUGACGGUAAUGGGUAAAGAAGCACCGGCUAACUACGUG